UGCCUCAGUAACGGCGAGUGAAGCGGCAAGAGCUCAAAUUUGAAAGCUGGCCCCCUCGGGGUCCGCAUUGUAAUUUGCAGAGGAUGCUUCGGGAGUGGCCCCCAUCUAAGUGCUCUGGAACGGGCCGUCAUAGAGGGUGAGAAUCCCGUAUGGGAUGGGGUGUCCGCGACCAUGUGAAGCUCCUUCAACGAGUCGAGUUGUUUGGGAAUGCAGCUCUAAAUGGGUGGUAAAUUUCAUCUAAAGCUAAAUAUUGGCCGGAGACCGAUAGCGCACAAGUAGAGUGAUCGAAAGAUGAAAAGCACUUUGAAAAGAGAGUUAAAAAGCACGUGAAAUUGUUGAAAGGGAAGCGCUUGCGACCAGACUCGCCUACGGGGUUCAGCCGGUAUUCGUACCGGUGUACUUCCCCGUGGGCGGGCCAGCGUCGGUUUGGGCGGCCGGUCAAAGGCCCUCGGAAUGUAACGCCUCUCGGGGCGCCUUAUAGCCGAGGGUGCCAUGCGGCCAGCCCAGACCGAGGAACGCGCUUCGGCACGGACGCUGGCAUAAUGGUCGUAAGCGACCCGUCUUGAAACACGGACCAAGGAGUCUAACAUCUACGCGAGUGUUCGGGUGUCAAACCCGUGCGCGCAGUGAAAGCGAACGGAGGUGGGAACCCUUACGGGUGCACCAUCGACCGAUCCUGAUGUCUUCGGAUGGAUUUGAGUAAGAGCGUAGCUGUUGGGACCCGAAAGAUGGUGAACUAUGCCUGAAUAGGGCGAAGCCAGAGGAAACUCUGGUGGAGGCUCGCAGCGGUUCUGACGUGCAAAUCGAUCGUCGAAUUUGGGUAUA
Molecule: ribosomal RNA, 825 nt
Filed under: Penicillium melinii
Lineage: Eukaryota; Fungi; Ascomycota; Eurotiomycetes; Eurotiales; Aspergillaceae
Description: LSU rRNA
Rfam family: Eukaryotic large subunit ribosomal RNA
Source: RNAcentral